RNAcentral lists this ribosomal RNA (253 nucleotides) under uncultured bacterium. RNAcentral's name for it is "partial 16S ribosomal RNA". It matches the Rfam family "Bacterial small subunit ribosomal RNA", at positions 524 to 776 of the family's 1533-position model. The record is from RNAcentral.
UACAGGGGGUGCAAACGUUGCUCGGAAUCAUUGGGCGUAAAGCGCGCGUAGGCUGCCAGAUAAGUCCGGUGUGAAAGUCAAAGGCUCAACCUUUGAAUGCCGCUGGAAACUGUCUGGCUAGAGUCCGGAAGGGGCGAGUGGAACUCCUGGUGUAGCGGUGAAAUGCGCAGAUAUCAGGAAGAACACCAAUGGCGAAGGCAGCUCGCUAGGACGGUACUGACGCUGAGGCGCGAAAGCGUGGGGAGCAAACAGG